This is a small nucleolar RNA of Herpailurus yagouaroundi (jaguarundi), 143 nucleotides long. Lineage: Eukaryota; Metazoa; Chordata; Mammalia; Carnivora; Felidae. The record is from RefSeq and is a predicted model, not a curated record.
ACUGCACAUAGAGCUUGGAGUUAAGGCCACUGGCUGCCUGAGGAACCCACAAAUAGUAUACUACAUGAGGGGCAAGUCUUUCACUAACACCACAAGGUCUCUGGCCCAAUGAAUGGAGUUUGAUAGUAAUUCUUGCUACAAGU